This 1532-nucleotide ribosomal RNA is filed under the name Lactiplantibacillus pentosus. RNAcentral describes it as "partial 16S ribosomal RNA". It matches the Rfam family "Bacterial small subunit ribosomal RNA". The record is from RNAcentral. Lineage: Bacteria; Bacillati; Bacillota; Bacilli; Lactobacillales; Lactobacillaceae.
GAGUUUGAUCCUGCGCUCAGGACGAACGCUGGCGGCGUGCCUAAUACAUGCAAGUCGAACGAACUCUGGUAUUGAUUGGUGCUUGCAUCAUGAUUUACAUUUGAGUGAGUGGCGAACUGGUGAGUAACACGUGGGAAACCUGCCCAGAAGCGGGGGAUAACACCUGGAAACAGAUGCUAAUACCGCAUAACAACUUGGACCGCAUGGUCCGAGUUUGAAAGAUGGCUUCGGCUAUCACUUUUGGAUGGUCCCGCGGCGUAUUAGCUAGAUGGUAGGGUAACGGCUCACCAUGGCAAUGAUACGUAGCCGACCUGAGAGGGUAAUCGGCCACAUUGGGACUGAGACACGGCCCAAACUCCUACGGGAGGCAGCAGUAGGGAAUCUUCCACAAUGGACGAAAGUCUGAUGGAGCAACGCCGCGUGAGUGAAGAAGGGUUUCGGCUCGUAAAACUCUGUUGUUAAAGAAGAACAUAUCUGAGAGUAACUGUUCAGGUAUUGACGGUAUUUAACCAGAAAGCCACGGCUAACUACGUGCCAGCAGCCGCGGUAAUACGUAGGUGGCAAGCGUUGUCCGGAUUUAUUGGGCGUAAAGCGAGCGCAGGCGGUUUUUUAAGUCUGAUGUGAAAGCCUUCGGCUCAACCGAAGAAGUGCAUCGGAAACUGGGAAACUUGAGUGCAGAAGAGGACAGUGGAACUCCAUGUGUAGCGGUGAAAUGCGUAGAUAUAUGGAAGAACACCAGUGGCGAAGGCGGCUGUCUGGUCUGUAACUGACGCUGAGGCUCGAAAGUAUGGGUAGCAAACAGGAUUAGAUACCCUGGUAGUCCAUACCGUAAACGAUGAAUGCUAAGUGUUGGAGGGUUUCCGCCCUUCAGUGCUGCAGCUAACGCAUUAAGCAUUCCGCCUGGGGAGUACGGCCGCAAGGCUGAAACUCAAAGGAAUUGACGGGGGCCCGCACAAGCGGUGGAGCAUGUGGUUUAAUUCGAAGCUACGCGAAGAACCUUACCAGGUCUUGACAUACUAUGCAAAUCUAAGAGAUUAGACGUUCCCUUCGGGGACAUGGAUACAGGUGGUGCAUGGUUGUCGUCAGCUCGUGUCGUGAGAUGUUGGGUUAAGUCCCGCAACGAGCGCAACCCUUAUUAUCAGUUGCCAGCAUUAAGUUGGGCACUCUGGUGAGACUGCCGGUGACAAACCGGAGGAAGGUGGGGAUGACGUCAAAUCAUCAUGCCCCUUAUGACCUGGGCUACACACGUGCUACAAUGGAUGGUACAACGAGUUGCGAACUCGCGAGAGUAAGCUAAUCUCUUAAAGCCAUUCUCAGUUCGGAUUGUAGGCUGCAACUCGCCUACAUGAAGUCGGAAUCGCUAGUAAUCGCGGAUCAGCAUGCCGCGGUGAAUACGUUCCCGGGCCUUGUACACACCGCCCGUCACACCAUGAGAGUUUGUAACACCCAAAGUCGGUGGGGUAACCUUUUAGGAACCAGCCGCCUAAGGUGGGACAGAUGAUUAGGGUGAAGUCGUAACAAGGUAGCCGUAG